This 502-nucleotide ribosomal RNA is filed under the name uncultured bacterium. RNAcentral's name for it is "partial 16S ribosomal RNA". It matches the Rfam family "Bacterial small subunit ribosomal RNA", at positions 28 to 507 of the family's 1533-position model. The record is from RNAcentral.
GACGAACGCUGGCGGCGUGCCUAAUACAUGCAAGUCGAACGGACCGCGACUAGGUGCUUGCACUUGGUCAAGGUGAGUGGCGAACGGGUGAGUAACACGUGGGUAACCUACCUCAUAGUGGGGGAUAACAGUCGGAAACGACUGCUAAUACCGCAUAGGACAUAGGAUCACAUGAUUCUGUGAGGAAAGGUGGCGCAAGCUAUCGCUAAGAGAUGGACCCGCGGUGCAUUAGCUAGUUGGUAGGGUAAAGGCCUACCAAGGCGAUGAUGCAUAGCCGACCUGAGAGGGUGAUCGGCCACAUUGGGACUGAGACACGGCCCAAACUCCUACGGGAGGCAGCAGUAGGGAAUCUUCCGCAAUGGACGCAAGUCUGACGGAGCAACGCCGCGUGAGUGAAGAAGGUCUUCGGAUCGUAAAGCUCUGUUGUUAGAGAAGAACAGCGCAUAGAGUAACUGUUAUGCGUGUGACGGUAUCUAACCAGAAAGCCACGGCUAACUACGUG